This 292-nucleotide ribosomal RNA is filed under the name uncultured bacterium. RNAcentral's name for it is "partial 16S ribosomal RNA". It matches the Rfam family "Archaeal small subunit ribosomal RNA", at positions 455 to 747 of the family's 1478-position model. The record is from RNAcentral.
GUGCCAGCCGCCGCGGUAACACCGGCAGCUUAAGUGAUGUCCCAUAUUAUUGGGCCUAAAGCGUCCGUAGCUGGCUGCGCAAGUCCGUCGGGAAAUCCACUCGCCCAACGAGUGGGCGUCCGACGGAAACUGCACAGCUUGGGACCGGAAGGUUCGAAGGGUACGUUCGGGGUAGGAGUGAAAUCCCAUAAUCCCGCACGGACCACCGAUGGCGAAAGCACUUCGAGAAAACGGAUCCGACAGUGAGGGACGAAAGCCAGGGUCUCCAACCGGAUUAGAUACCCGAGAGUCC